Molecule: ribosomal RNA, 190 nt
Filed under: uncultured Flavobacterium sp.
Lineage: Bacteria; Pseudomonadati; Bacteroidota; Flavobacteriia; Flavobacteriales; Flavobacteriaceae
Description: partial 16S ribosomal RNA
Rfam family: Bacterial small subunit ribosomal RNA
Source: RNAcentral
UCCUACGGGAGGCAGCAGUGAGGAAUAUUGGACAAUGGACGAAAGUCUGAUCCAGCCAUGCCGCGUGCAGGAUGACUGCCCUAUGGGUUGUAAACUGCUUUUAUACAGGAAGAAACACUCCCUCGUGAGGGAGCUUGACGGUACUGUAAGAAUAAGGAUCGGCUAACUCCGUGCCAGCAGCCGCGGUAAU